RNAcentral lists this long non-coding RNA (4111 nucleotides) under Homo sapiens (human). RNAcentral's name for it is "HSALNT0020253". Lineage: Eukaryota; Metazoa; Chordata; Mammalia; Primates; Hominidae. The record is from RNAcentral.
GCCUCUUCCAGGCCUGGUGCGUAAGUCUACCCCACACAGUCCUUUGCGAUUUUCCUCUCCCACUUUGGGAGCCAGUGGAUGAAGAGGGUGGAACCAUAGAAUAGAAGGAACCCAGAUACAGAUCACUGUUCAGAGGAGAGCUGCCUGCCAGUCAGGAAGACCCAUUUUGGACUUUAUAAAUGCUCUGACCUUAAAAGGAAUAUUGGAGGCAGGAGGAAACAGAGGAAGCAAGAAGAAUUUCCUGGAAGGUAAUUAUUGUAAUAUAAGCAUACUUCGGAGAUAUUGCAGGUUCCGUUCCAGACCACUGCAACAGUGAAUAUCUCAAUCAAGAAGAUGACCACGGCCCCUCUGUUCCCUCGCCUGUGUGCCAAAUGGAUCCACAGCUAGAGACAAGCUCCUUCCCUUUGAACGGUGGGAAGCAGGCCAAGAUGUUUUAAAGACAGAUGGCAUCAGAUGCAGAGAAGCAAGCUGGAACUCGGAGCACAGCUGCCUUAUUUACUUACCUACUGGCUGCAUUUCUGAGAACCAGUUUUAUUCCUGUUCAAAGGAAGCCAGGCAGAGUUGGGAAAAUAUUUUCCUAGCCAGCUCCUUAGCACCACUGUCUGAGGGAAACCAUCUGGCCAAGAUGCCCUUCAAGUGAGUAAAUGCAGUAUUGCCCUCUCCCUGCACAGGGGAGGGGGCAUGCACCAGACAGGGAAAAUGGCAGGCUCCUGGGGUGGGCUGAAGCUGUGGUUCUUCCCACUGACCCUCCUGGGCCCCUGGAGUCCAGUGAUGUGCUGGUAAAGGUUUAACAAUCAGCUGUCUGGGAGGUAGGGGUGGGGCAUUGCCUUGCAGUGUUUGCUGAUUUCCAUGGCCUGUUUGGAACUACCAAAGUGAAGUCACUGAGUGUGGGGUUAGGAGGAGAUGCCCAGGAGUACCCCAUUUCAGAGUAUUUCUACCACGUAGAUGCAGUAGGGGGUAUGUAACCUCAAGAGUGAAGAUACUAAUCAAUACAGUAAAAUAAUUAGCAAGUGAUGAGUUUUGAGUACUUAUUACUUUUAUUUUUAAUGUGAUAUAAUUUUAAGUUUAUAUAAUUUAUUUUCAAAUGACAUAUGCCUUUAACAACUGGCUCUCAGAGUUCUGGAAAAUUUCACUGUCAGUUCUUGCAAGGCAGGAUGGGCUGGCUCCGGAGCACUGCUGCUGGAGUCCCUCUUUUACUUAGAGUCAGAGAAUAAAUAUGCCAGUGUUAAGAUCACUCCCUUUAGAAGCUCAGGGCGUAUCAUGGGAGAUUUAGUGAGGGCUCUACUUCCUUAAGGAGAUUUUGUCUUCAGAAGGCAGAAUAGACACCUGCUUGGGAAAGAACAGAGGUUGAAAAACACCAUGUAUGGGUUUUUUUUUUUUUUUUUUUCGGUUCUACCCACCAUGUGUACUUGACCAAGACAGCACAGCACACAAGUUGCAGGUUCUGCCUUGCCUGGGCAGCUCCUGACUGUAUAUGCUUCAGCUUAUAGAGUCAAAACAACUUGGCAACAUCUAGCUUUAUUCCUCCGGGACCCUUGUGCUCUAAGGAUAGUUCUCUGGCUGCAGUACCCUGGCAUUUUCCAGGUCUCAAGCUCUAGCCUCUUUACCAGUUUAGCAGGAUGGUGCUAGUGGGUCUGUGGCCAUAAGAUUUUCCAUUAUUUCCUACAGCUUGUCUAGAGGAGUUGGGAUAUUUCUUGUCUCCCAGAACUCUCUCAUGGGAAAAAUUCUUACAUGAGAGACAGAACACUUUACCCAACUGGAGUCAGGGAAAGUUACACAUCUGUCCUGACCUCUGAGCUUCUGAAAAAUCACUGAGCUUUAUCAAAAGCACACAGGUCCAGAAGUGGAAAUUUAUAAGACAAAAGAAAAUAGGAAAUGAAAGUUGGAGGGGAAACCCUCUUAGUGUUGUUGCAAUGCCAAGAACUGGGGGAGGGUUUACGGCUCUAGUAGUUUGCUGAAGGAUGAACAGGACAUGCCAGGGACCAGAGGGUCAGAACAACAGAUAAUCAGAAAUGAAGAGGUCAAUGGGUGGGAAAGUAGGAGUGAAUGGUGUUGAUAGAUUUGUUUCUACCAUUUUAGGGUUGUUCUGUAAUGGCUGCCUAUAGUCACAAUCACGCCCACAAUUCUUCCUACUCAUUAAGACCUCUGCUACCCUAGCCCUGAAAUUUUCCUUCAUCCCCUCCUGUCUUCACUUCCUUCCUAACCCAGUAUAGAUUCUAUGGCCCUUCAUAACCACCCCUUUGGGCAUGUCCUGGUCUUCCUCCAACAUACCUUCCCAGCAAAACCCUAACCUUAUGUAGAUCCAGCUCUCUGCUCAUUCUAUACCAUUCCAAGAAAGCAAACGUGGCCAGAGGAAAACCGCAACCGUGUGGACUGAUUCUACCCUGAAUACAAGAUGAUGCAUCUCUAACGAGGCUCAGAACUGCCUGGAAGUCCAGCUACACUUCCCUAGUCAAUCCACGCCCUCAAUCCCCAGCUACAGUGGACCAACAGCCCUUACUCCUAUUGAGGCAGCUCCCCCACCCCCAUCCCCACUUAAACAUUGGAUCGAUCCCAUCUCCUGUCUACUUGGGACCUUUGGUCCUGCUGAUAUCCCCUCUCCCUCUUGAAACAUCACUUAUUUCCUUUCUACUGAAUCAAAACUCCAAAUUUCUUAUGACAUUUAAACUUCUCCUCUCUCUCAGCCUUUGUCUGCAUCAGGCCAGGAGCUGCAGUGGGGAAUAAUGGAUGGUGAUGAACUUCAUCUGUUUCCCUGCUGUGUACAUCUCCUCCUCCUCCCCUUCUCACUAGGCUGCCUCUUGUCCUCUGGGGCUGCUGCUCUGGGAGAGGGAGGAGAUGCAAAGAGCAGGAAAGGUCUUGCUCGGCUGGUACUGUUGUAGGAUAGCACAGAAUUUUCUGGCCUUGGCAGGUGUUUAAAGCUGACUUUCUUCUCUUGGGUCUUACAUAGGUUUCUUACACAGGGGUUGGGCUUCUCUGCUGGCAGCUUCCUUGAUACUGACCCUGCCUUUCCUCCAGCUCUCCAUUCAUCACCCCUCCCUUAGCGCCUAUGCAUCCUUUAGUCCACACCAUACAGACUCUUGUGGGGACCCCAUUGUUCCUCCAGGCAGGCUAUAUGAACAGCAUCCCCAGGCCACCAUCCCUUGCUGGGCUCUCAUCAGCAUUUUGGUCCUACUGUCAUGGGAUUACGGCUACUUCCCAACACAACAGUCUUUACUUGGCUAUGCCCAGGCAGAUAACCAGCCACAGGUUCUUGCCUUCAUUACCUUUGCAGGCGUGGGUCCAGCUCCAGUCGCUUAUUUCUAUUAUGGUCGCCAAGUGGUUCCUGAAAGCCCCAAUCACUUGUUUUCAUGUGAAGGGCAGGCUUCUUCCUCAGAACAUUUCUCCAUCUUUCUCCAAGGAAAUCAAGUUCUGUCUCUCUCCACUUACUCCCCACUUUCCAUCUCAAUCUUUAACACCUGUAAGUGCUUGAUGUGCUCAGGGUUGUAAAGUGGGUUCUUCAAUAUCUCAGUUGUGUGUCCCUUGUAGAUGGUUUAGCCCUCACUCUGGAAUGUGGGCUCAUUUUGCACCUAUCAGUUUGCGCCAAGCCUUUGGGCUCUCCUUCAAAACUGAGGAAGAAAGAGUUGUGUAUUAGCAUCUUGUUUCACACAUCCCUAUCCACCCAUGGCUAUCUCCACAACCCCCAAAUUUGGUUGGCUUCUUCACCAAAUACUUCUCUCUAGGAAUGCUCCUCCAGCACCCCUGACUCAUUGAGCCCAGGCUGGAGUGUAGUGGCGUGAUCUUGGCUCACUGCAGCCUCUGCCUCCCGGGUUCAAGCCAUUGUCCUGCCUCAGCUUCCUGAGUAGCUGGAAUUACAGGUGUGCACCACCACGCCUGGCUAAUUUUUGUAUUUUUAGUAGAGAUGGGGUUUCACCAUGUUGGCCUGGCUGGUCUUGAACUCCUGACCUCACACAAUCCACCCGCCUCGGCCUCCUAAGUGCUGGAAUUACAGGUGUGAGCCACUGUCCCCAGCCCUCUUCCUGACUUUAAAGUUUUCGUUGUAAUUUUCUUUUCUUCUCUUCCUCUGUUUUUUUUUUAAAUUAAUAUUUUAUUUUAUGAUUUGUUUAUGUAAUAG